AGGGAUUGCGCCAGUAACUGCGAGUGAAGCGGCAACAGCCCAGAUUUGAAAUCCGGCUCUCCCGUGAGGGAGUCAGAGUUGUAAUCUGUAGAGGAUGUCGCUGGCCAACAGCUACUUUGAAGUCCCCUGGAACGGGGUGCCAGAGAGGGUGAGAGCCCCGUACGGAGUAGACCGGAUGGUCAUGAUGCGGCUCCAUCGGCGAGUCGAGUAGUUUGGGAAUGCUGCUCUAAAUGGGAGGUAAAUUCCUUCUAAGGCUAAAUAUCGGCCGGAGACCGAUAGCGCACAAGUAGAGUGAUCGAAAGAUGAAAAGUACUUUGAAAAGAGGGUUAAACAGUACGUGAAAUUGUUGAAAGGGAAGCGCCCGCGACUAGACUUGUAUCUGAAUGGUCGCCCUACCCUCGUCGUAGGGUCUCCCAGUCCGGUUUACAGGCCAGCAUCGAUUUGUGUUGGGGGAUAAGAGCAGUGGGAACGUGGCUCGUUUUUUUGCGAGUGUUUAUAGCCCGCUGUAUAGUACUCUACUGCAGAUCGAGGAACGCGUCGUUGACACAGAUGCUGGCGUAAUGG
This 564-nucleotide ribosomal RNA is filed under the name Meliola trichostroma. RNAcentral's name for it is "partial large subunit ribosomal RNA". It matches the Rfam family "Eukaryotic large subunit ribosomal RNA", at positions 70 to 637 of the family's 3401-position model. The record is from RNAcentral. Lineage: Eukaryota; Fungi; Ascomycota; Sordariomycetes; Meliolales; Meliolaceae.